AGAGGUUUCCACAACAACCAGUGAGACUCCCACAACAACCACAGCAGCCGCAACAUCAACCACAUCUGCUCCCACAUCUAACACAGAGGUUGCAACAGGAAACAUGGAGUCUGCCGCAACUUCCACACUGGCUUCACAAACAACCAAAGCCUCUCUGAAUACAACCAAAUAUUCUGCACCAUCAUCCACAUCUGCUGGCACAUCAAAGACAGAGGUUCCCUCAGCAACCACAUCCCAACCAAAAACAACUAAUGAAGCUGUAAUGACAUCCUCAUCUUCUGCCACAUCAAACACAGGUGUUGCAACAACAACUGAAUCUGCUACAACAAACACAGAGCCUGCAACAACAACCAACGCCGGUCCCACAUUAACGCCAUCAGUGUCAGAAACAACAUCCACAAGGGUUGAAUCAUCAUCCACAUCUGCUGCCACAACAAUCACAGAGUCUGCCUCAACCCACAAAGUGACUGCCACAAUUACCACAGCUGCGCUCACAGCAUUGAAAACUGCUACCAAAAAUACCAUAACAGUUGGUAAAACAAACACAUCUGAUUCUAUAACUGCCACAGCUGCUCACACAAUAUCAACUGUGGCUGGCCCAAUAACCACUGCUACCAGAAAAACCACUGCUUCUGCCAUAACAAACAAAGAGGCUGCCACAGUAACUAAAUCUGCACUCACAACAAUGACAGCUGCCACCACAAAUUCUACAACUGCUGGCAAAACAAUCACAUCUCCAGCUACAACUACCACAGCUGCUCACACAAUAUCCACUGUGGCUAGCACAGCAACCACUGCUACCAGAAUAAACACUGCUGCAGCCACAACAAACAAAGGGACUGCCACAAUUACCACAUCUGCACUCACAGCAAUGAAAGUUGCCACCACAAAUACCAUAACAGUUGGCAAAACAAACACAUCUGCUUCCAUAACUGCCACAGCUGCUCACACAAUAUCAACUGUGGCUGGCCCAGCAACCACUGCUACCAGAAAAACCACUGCUUCUGCCAUAACAAACAAAGAGGUUCCCACAAUUACCACACCUGUGCUCAAAACAAUGGCAGCUGCAACCACAAAUUCCACAACUGCUGGUAUAACAAUAACAUCUCCAGCCACAAAUACCACAGCUGCUCACACAAUAUCCACAGUGUCUGGCACAGCAACCACUGCUACCAGAAGAACCACUGCUUCUGCCACAACAAACAAAGAGGCUGCCACAGUAACUAAAUCUGCACUCACAACAAUGACAGCUGCCACCACAAAUUCUACAACUGCUGGCAAAACAAUCACAUCUCCAGCCACAACUACCACAGCUGCUCACACAAUAUCCACAGUGGCUAGCACAGCAACCACUGCUAACAGAAUAAACACUGCUGCUGCCACAACAAACAAAGGGACCGCCACAAUUACCACAUCUGCACUCAAAACAAUGAAAGUUGCCAUCACAAAUACCAUAACAGUUGGCAAAACAAACACAUCUGCUUCCAUAACUGCCACAGCUGCUCACACAAUAUCAACUGUGGCUGGCCCAGCAACCACUGCUACCAGAAAAACCACUGCUUCUGCCAUAACAAACAAAGAGGUUCCCACAAUUACCACACCUGUGCUCACAACAAUGACAGCUGCCACCACAAAUUCUACAACUGCUGGCAAAACAAUCACAUCUCCAGCCACAACUUCCACAGCUGCUCACACAAUAUCCACAGUGGCUAGCACAGCAACCACUGCUACCAGAAUAAACACUGCUGCUGCCACAACAAACAAAGGGACUGCCACAAUUACCACAUCUGCACUCACAGCAAUGAAAGUUUCCAACACAAAUACCAUAACAGUUGGCAAAACAAACACAUCUGCUUCCAUAACUGCCACAGCUGCUCACACUAUAUCAACUGUGGCUGGCCCAGAAACCACUGCUACCAGAAAAAACACUGCUUCUGCCAUAACAAACAAAGAGGUUCCCACAAUUACCACACCUGUGCUCAAAACAAUGGCAGCUGCAACCACAAAUUCCACAACUGUUGGUAUAACAAUAACAUCUCCAGCCACAAAUACCACAGCUGCUCACACAAUAUCCACAGUGUCUGGCACAGCAACCACUGCUACCAGAAGAACCACUGCUUCUGCCACAACAAACAAAGAGGCUGCCACAGUAACUAAAUCUGCACUCACAACAAUGACAGCUGCCACCACAAAUUCUACAACUACUGGCAAAACAAUCACAUCUCCAGCCACAACCACCACAGCUGCUCACACAAUAUCCACAGUGGCUAGCACAGCAACCACUGCUACCAGAAUAAACACUGCUGCAGCCACAACAAACAAAGGGACUGCCACAAUUACCACAUCUGCACUCACAGCAAUGAAAGUUGCCACCACAAAUACCAUAACAGUUGGCAAAACAAACACAUCUGCUUCCAUAACUGCCACAGCUGCUCACACAAUAUCAACUGUGGCUGGCCCAGAAACCACUGCUACCAGAAAAACCACUGCUUCUGCCAUAACAAACAAAGAGGUUCCCACAACGGCUGGGAAAACAACCACAGCUGCUGCUACAAAUAUUUUUGCUCCGUCCACUGCAUCCACUGACCCUCCAACUGCAAAUGAAGGUGUUCUGAUUCUAAAGCUGCGACUGGAUCGUCUGUAUUUGGAAGACUAUAAUAAUCCACUGUCCCAGAACUAUAUCACUUUGGCUUUAAACGUCACAACUGAGUUGAAUCUAGGAUACAAAGAAAUAUUUCCAUUCAUCUUCCUUAGAUGCAUCAUCAUCAGUUUCUGGUCUGGUUCUGUGGGCGUGACAACAAACUUGAUCUUCACAAACCAGUCAGUGGUCCCUAACGUUACAAAUGUAUUGGAUUCCCUUAUCAAGGCCAUCAGCAUUUCUGAAGUCUACUUGGACGUUAUUCCUGGCAGUAUCAUCGUGGAGCUCCCAAAUUCCACAAUUACUGCUGUGACUACUGCAACUAUGACAACAGUAACGACAGCAGCAACCACACAAACUCCUUUGGCUGCAACAACUUUCAGCAGCACAAUGACAAGAAACAGGCCUCAAGUGAUAACUUUGCUAGUUCUUUUAAUUCUGGUCUAUUUUCUUCUAACAGAAGGCUGUAGGUCUUAAAACUAUUAACUACACACAGUUUGCAUAAAGGAAAAUAUCCUAAUAUAUACUUUACCUUCAGCUAUUUGAAGAUUAAUAGAUAUUAACAAAACACUAUUUGAUCACUUAUUGGAAAAUGCUUUAUAAUGAACGCUUUGAUAAAUUAAUUGCUUAUAGUUAUGAUUAUGUACAAGUAUGUCUAAUGUAAUUAAACAAACUUUAA
This is a long non-coding RNA of Esox lucius (northern pike), 3317 nucleotides long. RefSeq annotates it as mucin-5AC. The record is from RefSeq and is a predicted model, not a curated record. NCBI's taxonomy places the organism in Eukaryota, Metazoa, Chordata, Actinopteri, Esociformes, Esocidae. The transcript has 4 exons.